This 23-nucleotide non-coding RNA is filed under the name Cricetulus griseus (Chinese hamster). Lineage: Eukaryota; Metazoa; Chordata; Mammalia; Rodentia; Cricetidae. The record is from RNAcentral.
GACUGUUGCCUUAAUCUGAGCCU